Molecule: ribosomal RNA, 231 nt
Filed under: uncultured bacterium
Lineage: Bacteria
Description: partial 16S ribosomal RNA
Rfam family: Bacterial small subunit ribosomal RNA
Source: RNAcentral
GACGAACGCUGGCGGCGUGCUUAACACAUGCAAGUCGAGCGGUAAGGCCCUUUCGGGGUACGACGAGCGGCGAACGGGUGAGUAACACGUGGGUGACCUGCCCUCAGCUCUGGGAUAAGCCUGGGAAACUGGGUCUAAUACUGGAUAUGACUCCACGGUGCAUGUCGUGGGGUGGAAAGCCUUGUGCGGCUGAGGAUGGGCCCGCGGCCUAUCAGCUUGUUGGUGGGGUGA